This 148-nucleotide non-coding RNA is filed under the name Homo sapiens (human). Lineage: Eukaryota; Metazoa; Chordata; Mammalia; Primates; Hominidae. The record is from Rfam by way of RNAcentral.
GCUGGGUGUGGUGGCGGACCCCUGUAAUCCCAGCUACUUGGGAGGCUGAGGCAGGAGAAUCGCUUGAACCCAGGAGGCAGAGGUUGCAGUGAGAAAAGAUCGCGCCAUUGCACUCCAGCCUGGGUGACAGAGCGAGACUCUGUCUCAA